UUAAGUUAAUAAGGGCGCACGGUGGAUGCCUUGGCACUAGGAGCCGACGAAGGACGUGACAAACGACGAUAUGCCUUGGGUAGCUGUAAGUAAGCGAUGAUCCAGGGAUUUCCGAAUGGGGGAACCCAACAGGUAAUACCUGUUACCUACAUCUGUUAAGGAUGUGAGGAGGAAGACGCAGUGAACUGAAACAUCUAAGUAGCUGCAGGAAGAGAAAGCAAAAGCGAUUGCCUUAGUAGCGGCGAGCGAAACGGCAGAAGGGCAAACCGAAGAGUUUACUCUUCGGGGUUGUAGGACUGCAAUGUGGACUCAAAGAUUAUAGAAGAAUGAUUUUGGGAAGAUCAGCCAAAGAGAGUAAUAGCCUCGUAUUUAAAAUAGUCUUUGUACUUAGCAGUAUCCUGAGUACGGCGGGACACGUGAAAUCCCGUCGGAAUCUGGGAGGACCAUCUCCCAACCCUAAAUACUCCCUAGUGACCGAUAGUGAACCAGUACCGUGAGGGAAAGGUGAAAAGCACCCCGGGAGGGGAGUGAAAUAGAACCUGAAACCGUGUGCCUACAACAAGUUCGAGCCCGUUAAUGGGUGAGAGCGUGCCUUUUGUAGAAUGAACCGGCGAGUUACGUUAUGAUGCGAGGUUAAGUUGAAGAGACGGAGCCGUAGGGAAACCGAGUCUGAAUAGGGCGCCUUAGUAUCAUGACGUAGACCCGAAACCAUGUGACCUACCCAUGAGCAGGUUGAAGGUGCGGUAAGACGCACUGGAGGACCGAACCAGGGCACGUUGAAAAGUGCUUGGAUGACUUGUGGGUAGCGGAGAAAUUCCAAACGAACUUGGAGAUAGCUGGUUCUCUCCGAAAUAGCUUUAGGGCUAGCGUCGACAUUAGAGAUUCUUGGAGGUAGAGCACUGUUUGGGUGAGGGGUCCAUCCCGGAUUACCAAUCUCAGAUAAACUCCGAAUGCCAAUGAAUUAUGGUCGGCAGUCAGACUGCGAGUGCUAAGAUCCGUAGUCGAAAGGGAAACAGCCCAGACCACCAGCUAAGGUCCCAAAAUAAUUGUUAAGUGGAAAAGGAUGUGGGGUUGCACAGACAACUAGGAUGUUAGCUUAGAAGCAGCUAUUCAUUCAAAGAGUGCGUAAUAGCUCACUAGUCGAGUGACCCUGCGCCGAAAAUGUACCGGGGCUAAAACAAUUUACCGAAGCUGUGGAUACCUUUAUAGGUAUGGUAGGAGAGCGUUCUAUGUGUGAUGAAGGUAUACCGUGAGGAGUGCUGGAACGCAUAGAAGUGAGAAUGCCGGUAUGAGUAGCGAAAGACAGGUGAGAAUCCUGUCCACCGUAAGACUAAGGUUUCCAGGGGAAGGCUCGUCCGCCCUGGGUUAGUCGGGACCUAAGGAGAGACCGAAAGGUGUAUCCGAUGGACAACAGGUUGAUAUUCCUGUACUAGAGUAUGUAGUGAUGGAGGGACGCAGUAGGCUAACUAAAGCAGACGAUUGGAAGAGUCUGUCUAAGCAGUGAGGUGUGAAUUGAGUCAAAUGCUUAAUUCUAUAACAUUGAGCUGUGAUGGGGAGCGAAGUUUAGUAGCGAAGUUAGUGACGUCACACUGCCAAGAAAAGCUUCUAGCGUUUAAACAUACUCUACCCGUACCGCAAACCGACACAGGUAGUCGAGGCGAGUAGCCUCAGGUGAGCGAGAGAACUCUCGUUAAGGAACUCGGCAAAAUGACCCCGUAACUUCGGGAGAAGGGGUGCUGACUUAAAGUCAGCCGCAGUGAAUAGGCCCAAGCAACUGUUUAUCAAAAACACAGCUCUCUGCUAAAUCGUAAGAUGAUGUAUAGGGGGUGACGCCUGCCCGGUGCUGGAAGGUUAAGAGGAGUGCUUAGCGUAAGCGAAGGUAUGAAUUGAAGCCCCAGUAAACGGCGGCCGUAACUAUAACGGUCCUAAGGUAGCGAAAUUCCUUGUCGGGUAAGUUCCGACCCGCACGAAAGGCGUAAUGAUUUGGGCACUGUCUCAACGAGAGACUCGGUGAAAUUUUAGUACCUGUGAAGAUGCAGGUUACCCGCGACAGGACGGAAAGACCCCAUGGAGCUUUACUGCAGUUUGAUAUUGAGUGUCUGUACCACAUGUACAGGAUAGGUAGGAGUCUAAGAGAUCGGGACGCCAGUUUCGAAGGAGACGCUGUUGGGAUACUACCCUUGUGUUAUGGCCACUCUAACCCAGAUAGGUGAUCCCUAUCGGAGACAGUGUCUGACGGGCAGUUUGACUGGGGCGGUCGCCUCCUAAAAGGUAACGGAGGCGCCCAAAGGUUCCCUCAGAAUGGUUGGAAAUCAUUCGCAGAGUGUAAAGGUAUAAGGGAGCUUGACUGCGAGAGCUACAACUCGAGCAGGGACGAAAGUCGGGCUUAGUGAUCCGGUGGUUCCGUAUGGAAGGGCCAUCGCUCAACGGAUAAAAGCUACCCUGGGGAUAACAGGCUUAUCUCCCCCAAGAGUUCACAUCGACGGGGAGGUUUGGCACCUCGAUGUCGGCUCGUCGCAUCCUGGGGCUGUAGUCGGUCCCAAGGGUUGGGCUGUUCGCCCAUUAAAGCGGCACGCGAGCUGGGUUCAGAACGUCGUGAGACAGUUCGGUCCCUAUCCGUCGCGGGCGUAGGAAAUUUGAGAGGAUCUGCUCCUAGUACGAGAGGACCAGAGUGGACUUACCGCUGGUGUACCAGUUGUCUUGCCAAAGGCAUCGCUGGGUAGCUAUGUAGGGAAGGGAUAAACGCUGAAAGCAUCUAAGUGUGAAACCCACCUCAAGAUGAGAUUUCCCAUGAUUAUAUAUCAGUAAGAGCCCUGAGAGAUGAUCAGGUAGAUAGGUUAGAAGUGGAAGUGUGGCGACACAUGUAGCGGACUAAUACUAAUAGCUCGAGGACUUAUCCAA
RNAcentral lists this ribosomal RNA (2901 nucleotides) under Streptococcus pneumoniae GA04672. Its description in RNAcentral is "bacterial LSU rRNA". It matches the Rfam family "Bacterial large subunit ribosomal RNA". The record is from RNAcentral. Lineage: Bacteria; Bacillati; Bacillota; Bacilli; Lactobacillales; Streptococcaceae.